GCGGUCGCCGCCAUGAGUAUGCUCAGGCUUCAGAAGAGGCUUGCCUCUAGUGUCCUCCGCUGUGGCAAAAAGAAGGUCUGGUUGGACCCCAAUGAGACCAAUGAAAUCGCCAAUGCCAACUCCCGUCAGCAGAUUCGGAAGUUGAUCAAAGAUGGGAUGACCAUCCGGAAGCCUGUGACUGUCCAUUCCCGAGCUCGGUGCCGGAAAAACACCUUGGCCCGUAGGAAGGGCAGGCAUAUGGGCAUAGGUAAGCGAAAAGGUACUGCCAAUGCUCGAAUGCCUGAGAAGGUAACCUGGAUGAGAAGGAUGAGAAUUCUUCGCCGACUGCUCAGAAGAUACCGUGAAUCUAAAAAGAUUGACCGCCACAUGUAUCACAGCCUGUACCUGAAAGUGAAGGGUAACGUGUUCAAAAACAAGCGGAUUCUCAUGGAACACAUCCACAAGCUAAAGGCAGACAAGGCUCGCAAGAAGCUCCUUGCUGACCAGGCUGAGGCCCGUAGGUCUAAGACCAAGGAAGCACGCAAGCACCGUGAAGAGCAACUCCAGGCCAAGAAGGAGGAAAUCAUCAAAACUCUGUCCAAGGAAGAAGAGACGAAGAAAUAAAGCUCCACCUCUCUUACCUGUACAUAGUGGCCU
RNA transcript from Hipposideros armiger (great roundleaf bat), 636 nucleotides. It is a transcript of the gene named 60S ribosomal protein L19 pseudogene, with no coding region annotated. The transcript has a single exon. The record is from RefSeq and is a predicted model, not a curated record. Lineage: Eukaryota; Metazoa; Chordata; Mammalia; Chiroptera; Hipposideridae.